This 72-nucleotide transfer RNA is filed under the name Lentzea atacamensis. RNAcentral's name for it is "Lechevalieria atacamensis tRNA-Pro". It matches the Rfam family "tRNA". From Rfam's summary of the family: Transfer RNA (tRNA) molecules are approximately 80 nucleotides in length. Their secondary structure includes four short double-helical elements and three loops (D, anti-codon, and T loops). Further hydrogen bonds mediate the characteristic L-shaped molecular structure. tRNAs have two regions of fundamental functional importance: the anti-codon, which is responsible for specific mRNA codon recognition, and the 3' end, to which the tRNAs corresponding amino acid is attached (by aminoacyl-tRNA synthetases). tRNAs cope with the degeneracy of the genetic code in two manners: having more than one tRNA (with a specific anti-codon) for a particular amino acid; and 'wobble' base-pairing, i.e. permitting non-standard base-pairing at the 3rd anti-codon position. The record is from RNAcentral. Lineage: Bacteria; Bacillati; Actinomycetota; Actinomycetes; Pseudonocardiales; Pseudonocardiaceae.
UCGGCUGUAGUUCAGCGGUAGAACGCCCGGCUCGGGACCGGGUGGACGCCGGUUCGAGCCCGGCCGGCCGGA